CAGUUCCUAUAUGAUCACCGAAGUUAAGCAACAUUGAGCCUGGUCGGUACCUAGAUGAGUGACUGCUUGGGAAUACCAAGUUCUGUAA
Non-coding RNA from Acanthosepion pharaonis, 88 nucleotides. The record is from the annotation of a GenBank genome assembly. Lineage: Eukaryota; Metazoa; Mollusca; Cephalopoda; Sepiida; Sepiidae.